GAUGAACGCUAGCUACAGGCUUAACACAUGCAAGUCGAGGGGAAACGACAUCGAAAGCUUGCUUUUGAUGGGCGUCGACCGGCGCACGGGUGAGUAACGCGUAUCCAACCUGCCCAUCACUUGGGGAUAACCUUGCGAAAGUAAGACUAAUACCCAAUGAUAUCUCUAGAAGGCAUCUGAAAGAGAUUAAAGAUUUAUCGGUGAUGGAUGGGGAUGCGUCUGAUUAGCUUGUUGGCGGGGUAACGGCCCACCAAGGCAACGAUCAGUAGGGGUUCUGAGAGGAAGGUCCCCCACAUUGGAACUGAGACACGGUCCAAACUCCUACGGGAGGCAGCAGUGAGGAAUAUUGGGCAAUGGGUGAGAGCCUGAACCAGCCAAGUAGCGUGCAGGAAGACGGCCCUAUGGGUUGUAAACUGCUUUUAUAAGGGAAUAAAGUGAGAGUCGUGACUCUUUUUGUAUGUACCUUAUGAAUAAGGACCGGCUAAUUCCGUG
RNAcentral lists this ribosomal RNA (492 nucleotides) under uncultured bacterium. RNAcentral's name for it is "partial 16S ribosomal RNA". It matches the Rfam family "Bacterial small subunit ribosomal RNA", at positions 28 to 507 of the family's 1533-position model. The record is from RNAcentral.